Molecule: unclassified non-coding RNA, 245 nt
Filed under: uncultured fungus
Lineage: Eukaryota; Fungi
Description: sequence contains ITS2
Source: RNAcentral
AACGCACAUUGCGCCCCUUGGUAUUCCGGGGGGCAUGCCUGUUCGAGCGUCAUUUCAACCCUCAAGCUAAGCUUGGUCUUGGGCACUGCCGGUUACGGCUUGCCUUAAAAUUAGUGGCGGUGCCAUUCGAGCUCUACGCGUAGUAAUUUUAAACCCUCGCGAUUGAGUCUUGGUGGAAGCUUGCCAGCAACCCUCAAAUUCUUAUGGUUGACCUCGGAUCAGGUAGGGAUACCCGCUGAACUUAA